ACAUACAUCCACUUUUCCACACAAAUACUAUAUACCCUAUUUACUCUUCGAGUACCGGGUAUAAAAAUCAAUGAAAUAAAACAUUCAGUACUCCAACCGAACGAAAAUAAUAUUUAUAAAAAUCCCUGAACAGUUUAAUACAGAUAAAUAAUUAUAAAAUUACAUGAACAGUCUAACACAGAAAAAAUGAUAUCCCUCUGCGUAGCUGUUAAGAUAUAUUUUAUGUUUAACAUUUUUUACAUUUAAGAACUAAUUUAUAAUAAAUGUAAUUACUCUAAUUAGUGUUUACCCAGGCAAUAACAAAUAUAAUGGGUGAUUCGAACUAUAUUAAGUACUACCUACCAGUAAUGCAAUGCAAAUCAAAUGAAACCAAAAUGUUCGUUAACGAUAAGCAAAAUUGUUCCAAUUCUUACGUAUACGUGCAUUAAAACAUAUAAAAGAAAAUAUCAUAUCAGAUCGCCACAAAAAAAUAAAUAUUUCUACAAUAAAAUACAAUAUGCCCUAUUUCCUCUUCCAGUACCAGGUAAAUAGUGACAAAUAAAAAAAAUAUAAAUUUCAAUUCUAUUUUUUGUGGCUAUUUCCCAGCAAUGAGUGAGUACUUUAACACCCAAAUCAAAGUGUUCAGUGAGCGUCUCCGAGCCUCUCAGAUUUGACAUGGAGUCUAUAAGCGAAUUAGUCACGAAGACGACAAUGGGUCGUUCAGGAAAAAAUACAAAACGAAAACCAUUUGGAACCAAAUUGAGGCCUAAUAAACAUCAUAAUUUUUUUUUCUGUUUAAUUUUUUUGUAACCAACUUGUAGGGUUUGUGGAACAACCCAUCGAUUACUUGCAACCCCAUUAAAUGUCUAUCAAACUA
Long non-coding RNA from Drosophila subobscura, 856 nucleotides. RefSeq lists it as uncharacterized. The record is from RefSeq and is a predicted model, not a curated record. NCBI's taxonomy places the organism in Eukaryota, Metazoa, Arthropoda, Insecta, Diptera, Drosophilidae. The transcript is spliced from 2 exons.